This 190-nucleotide ribosomal RNA is filed under the name uncultured bacterium. Its description in RNAcentral is "partial 16S ribosomal RNA". It matches the Rfam family "Bacterial small subunit ribosomal RNA", at positions 341 to 522 of the family's 1533-position model. The record is from RNAcentral.
ACAGGAGGCGACAGUAGGGAAUAUUCCGCAAUGGGCGAAAGCCUGACGGAGCGACGCCGCGUGAGCGAUGAAGGUCUUCGGAUCGUAAAGCUCUGUUGUUAGGGAAGCACAAGUACCGGAGUAACUGCCGGUACCUUGUACGGUACCUAACCAGAAAGCCCCGGCUAACUACGUGCCAGCAGCCGCGGUA